UACGGAGGGUGCAACCGUUGCUCGGAAUCAUUGGGCGUAAAGCGCACGUAGGCGGUCUGGUAAGUCGGAUGUGAAAUCCCUCGGCUCAACCGAGGAAGGGCAUCCGAAACUGCCGGGCUUGAGUGCGGAAGAGGGUCUCGGAAUUCCCGGUGUAGAGGUGAAAUUCGUAGAUAUCGGGAGGAACACCAGUGGCGAAGGCGGAGACCUGGGCCGAUACUGACGCUGAGGUGCGAAAGCGUGGGGAGCAAACAGG
This 253-nucleotide ribosomal RNA is filed under the name uncultured bacterium. RNAcentral describes it as "partial 16S ribosomal RNA". It matches the Rfam family "Bacterial small subunit ribosomal RNA", at positions 524 to 776 of the family's 1533-position model. The record is from RNAcentral.